This 465-nucleotide ribosomal RNA is filed under the name Vreelandella stevensii. RNAcentral describes it as "partial 16S ribosomal RNA". It matches the Rfam family "Bacterial small subunit ribosomal RNA", at positions 338 to 795 of the family's 1533-position model. Lineage: Bacteria; Pseudomonadati; Pseudomonadota; Gammaproteobacteria; Oceanospirillales; Halomonadaceae. The record is from RNAcentral.
CCUACGGGCGGCAGCAGUGGGGAAUAUUGGACAAUGGGCGAAAGCCUGAUCCAGCCAUGCCGCGUGUGUGAAGAAGGCCUUCGGGUUGUAAAGCACUUUCAGUGGGGAAGAAAGCCUUGGGGCUAAUACCCUCGAGGAAGGACAUCACCCACAGAAGAAGCACCGGCUAACUCCGUGCCAGCAGCCGCGGUAAUACGGAGGGUGCGAGCGUUAAUCGGAUUUACUGGGCGUAAAGCGCGCGUAGGCGGUCUGAUAAGCCGGUUGUGAAAGCCCCGGGCUCAACCUGGGAACGGCAUCCGGAACUGUCAGGCUAGAGUGCAGGAGAGGAAGGUAGAAUUCCCGGUGUAGCGGUGAAAUGCGUAGAGAUCGGGAGGAAUACCAGUGGCGAAGGCGGCCUUCUGGACUGACACUGACGCUGAGGUGCGAAAGCGUGGGUAGCAAACAGGAUUAGAUACCCUGGUAGUC